CAUAGAGACACGGAACACUCUCCAGCUCUCUCUCUCUGCUCCGACACACUCUGACAAACUCCUCCUCACUGUCCACACGAAGGGGCAGCUUCCUGUUGGAGACAGAGGUGAGGGGUUAGGAACACUCUCCAGCUCUCUCUCUGCUCCGACACACUCUGACAAACUCCUCCUCACUGUCCACACGAAGGGGCAGCUUCCUGUUGGAGACAGAGGUGAGGGGUUAGGAACACUCUCCAGCUCUCUCUCUGCUCCGACACACUCUGACAAACUCCUCCUCACUGUCCACACGAAGGGGCAGCUUCCUGUUGGAGACAGAGGUGAGGGGUUAGGAAC
Molecule: long non-coding RNA, 333 nt
Organism: Oncorhynchus keta (chum salmon)
Lineage: Eukaryota; Metazoa; Chordata; Actinopteri; Salmoniformes; Salmonidae
Exons: 3
Source: RefSeq, a predicted model, not a curated record